GAGUUUGAUCUUGGCUCGGAGCGAACGCUGGCGGCAGGCCUAACACAUGCAAGUCGAACGAUCCUUCGGGAUAGUGGCGGACGGGUGAGUAACACGUGGGAACGUGCCCUUUGGUUCGGAACAACUCAGGGAAACUUGAGCUAAUACCGGAUGUGCCCUUCGGGGAAAGAUUUAUCGCCAUUGGAGCGGCCCGCGUCUGAUUAGCUAGUUGGUGAGGUAACGGCUCACCAAGGCGACGAUCAGUAGCUGUCUGAGAGGAUGAUCAGCCACACUGGGACUGAGACACGGCCCGAACUCCUACGGGAGGCAGCAGUGGGGAAUAUUGGACAAUGGGGGCAACCCUGAUCCAGCCAUGCCGCGUGCGUGAAGAAGGCCUUAGGGUUGUAAAGCGCUUUUUGCUAGGGAUGAUAA
Molecule: ribosomal RNA, 411 nt
Filed under: uncultured Alphaproteobacteria bacterium
Lineage: Bacteria; Pseudomonadati; Pseudomonadota; Alphaproteobacteria
Description: bacterial SSU rRNA
Rfam family: Bacterial small subunit ribosomal RNA
Source: RNAcentral